RNAcentral lists this transfer RNA (69 nucleotides) under Ictidomys tridecemlineatus (thirteen-lined ground squirrel). RNAcentral describes it as "Spermophilus tridecemlineatus (thirteen-lined ground squirrel) tRNA". It matches the Rfam family "tRNA". Rfam says of the family: Transfer RNA (tRNA) molecules are approximately 80 nucleotides in length. The record is from Rfam by way of RNAcentral. Lineage: Eukaryota; Metazoa; Chordata; Mammalia; Rodentia; Sciuridae.
GGGCCUGUAGCUCAAUGGCAGAGCAUUUGCCUUGCAUGCGUGAGGCACUGGGUUCGAUCCUCAGGACCA